CAAUGAUUUGCAAAGAUUGUAAAUAUCCUUGUUUUUGUCCUGGAAACCCGAUACGACAUUUACUUGAUUUUCAAACUAAAGGUGAUACUAAAAAUAUUGAAACUUCUAAUAUCGAUACAGUCAACCCAAAUACGAAUGGAAAUUAUUCUUACAUCCAAAGGUUUUCUGACAACAAACUCAAAUCUAAAAAGCCUAGAAAAGUACAAAGACUUCUUCGUUGUUUGAAAUGCAAAUGUUGGUCGAAGAAAAGGAAAACUAGUGUUGAUAGCAAAAUUAAGUCUGAAAAACAAGCAACAGCCCCUCCUACUACUAAAAUUAACAAGAAGAAUAAUACAAAAACACUUAAGGAUUCGAG
Long non-coding RNA from Amyelois transitella, 355 nucleotides. RefSeq lists it as uncharacterized. The record is from RefSeq and is a predicted model, not a curated record. The transcript has 5 exons. Lineage: Eukaryota; Metazoa; Arthropoda; Insecta; Lepidoptera; Pyralidae.